UGAAAAACGAUGACGAAGAGUAGUACAUUUAAUUUGAAUGCCUAGAGAGUCUGUGGUUGGUGCAAACAGAUCAUUCAUUAAAUGGAAUGGACUUCCGAGUUAGCUUGAUGAACGUUUCUAUUAGUAGUCCAGCUCGUCGCCUUCACGUUACGAAGUAAAGUGGCCAAUUGAGGCAAGCUGGGUGGUACCGCGGAUUUUAACAUCAUUCGUCCCUUCU
RNAcentral lists this non-coding RNA (217 nucleotides) under Solibacillus silvestris. Its description in RNAcentral is "T-box sequence". It matches the Rfam family "T-box leader". From Rfam's summary of the family: Uncharged tRNA acts as the effector for transcription antitermination of genes in the T-box leader family. Lineage: Bacteria; Bacillati; Bacillota; Bacilli; Caryophanales; Caryophanaceae. The record is from RNAcentral.